Molecule: ribosomal RNA, 496 nt
Filed under: uncultured bacterium
Lineage: Bacteria
Description: partial 16S ribosomal RNA
Rfam family: Bacterial small subunit ribosomal RNA
Source: RNAcentral
CUUCACUCUGGCGGCGUGCCUAAUACAUGCAAGUCGAGCGAACAGACGAGGAGCUUGCUCCUCUGACGUUAGCGGCGGACGGGUGAGUAACACGUGGAUAACCUACCUAUAAGACUGGGAUAACUUCGGGAAACCGGAGCUAAUACCGGAUAAUAUAUUGAACCGCAUGGUUCAAUAGUGAAAGACGGUUUUGCUGUCACUUAUAGAUGGAUCCGCGCCGCAUUAGCUAGUUGGUAAGGUAACGGCUUACCAAGGCAACGAUGCGUAGCCGACCUGAGAGGGUGAUCGGCCACACUGGAACUGAGACACGGUCCAGACUCCUACGGGAGGCAGCAGUAGGGAAUCUUCCGCAAUGGGCGAAAGCCUGACGGAGCAACGCCGCGUGAGUGAUGAAGGUCUUCGGAUCGUAAAACUCUGUUAUUAGGGAAGAACAAAUGUGUAAGUAACUAUGCACGUCUUGACGGUACCUAAUCAGAAAGCCACGGCUAACUACGUG